Molecule: ribosomal RNA, 400 nt
Filed under: Bacillus cereus
Lineage: Bacteria; Bacillati; Bacillota; Bacilli; Caryophanales; Bacillaceae
Description: bacterial SSU rRNA
Rfam family: Bacterial small subunit ribosomal RNA
Source: RNAcentral
GCGUCUAUACAUGCAGUCGAGCGAAUGGAUUGAGAGCUUGCUCUCAAGAAGUUAGCGGCGGACGGGUGAGUAACACGUGGGUAACCUGCCCAUAAGACUGGGAUAACUCCGGGAAACCGGGGCUAAUACCGGAUAACAUUUUGAACUGCAUGGUUCGAAAUUGAAAGGCGGCUUCGGCUGUCACUUAUGGAUGGACCCGCGUCGCAUUAGCUAGUUGGUGAGGUAACGGCUCACCAAGGCAACGAUGCGUAGCCGACCUGAGAGGGUGAUCGGCCACACUGGGACUGAGACACGGCCCAGACUCCUACGGGAGGCAGCAGUAGGGAAUCUUCCGCAAUGGACGAAAGUCUGACGGAGCAACGCCGCGUGAGUGAUGAAGGCUUUCGGGUCGUAAAACUCU